UGUGGGGUGGUUAUGGGGGGAUAUGGGGUCAUAUGGGAGGUUAUGGGGGAUAUGGGGUGGUUAUGGGGUCCCUAUGUGUCCCUAUGUGUCCCUAUGUGUCUCUAUGUGUCUCUAUGUGUCCCUAUGUGUCCCUAUGGGUCCCUAUGUGUCCCUAUGGGUCUCUAUGUGUCUCUAUGGGUCUCUAUGGGUCCCUAUGUGUCCCUAUGGGUCCCUAUGUGUCUCUAUGGGUCUCUAUGUGUCUCUAUGGGUCCCUAUGUGUCCCUAUGUGUCUCUAUGGGUCCCUAUGUGUCUCUAUGUGUCUCUAUGUGUCCCUAUGUGUCCCUAUGGGGCCGUAACCCCCGUUUCUCCCCGUUCCAGCCCCACUGAAUCCCGUCUCACGGUGUCCGACAACUCGCUGCUCUGGAGCGCCCCCGUGCGGUACCGGGUGGGAGCCGCGGUCACGUGGCUGGAGGACUCCACCCCAUAUCUCAGCUUCACCCCCGGCCAGACCCACAACUCAACACUGAGGCACCAUUACCAGGUUCAGAUUUCUUCUCCUCCGGCCUCCCCCCGGUGCCCGUACUCGCCAACUCAUACCUCAGCUCCUUCCUGCUGCUGCCCCACAAGCUGCCCCCACGGCAUGGAAUGGAGCCCCAGCGUCACCAUGCCCCCGUUCCGAUCCCAUUUAUGCUCCCGUUUGUGGUUCCGGUUCGGUUCGGGGCUGUUCCAGCAUCACCCACAAGGGGGCGACAACGGGAUGCAGGGCACGACGGAGGUGGAGCUGCUGCCCCCCCCCCCCCCCAUUGCUCUUAAUGUACGUGGGGGGGCUGCGGCGGGGCGGGUGAUGCUGCUGCCCUAUGGGCGUCGCUGGGCGUGGCGCGAAGGUAAAUUUGCAUAAUUUGCAUAUUAAUGAGCUAAGGGGAUGGGGUGGGGGGUCACUAAUUAGGGUAAGGUUAAUUAGUCUGGAGGGGUAAAUUAAUUAAGGGGGUUAAUUAGAGCUUGUUAAUGGGCCGGGGGGGGGUGAUGCUGCUGCUCCUAUUGGGCGUCCUCCUGUCCAAGGUAAUUUGCAUAAUUGCAUAUUAAUGAGCUAAGGGGAUGGGGAUGGGGUUAAUUAACCAGGGGGGUUAUUAAAUGGGGAGUAAUUAAUUAAGGGUUUAAUUAGAGGAGGUCAGUUAAUUGGGAGGAUGGGCGAAGGGGCUGGGAUAGGGGGAUCACUCUAAUUAUCAGGGGAUAAUUAGGCAUAUUAAUUUGCUUAAUUAGCAUACUAAUGAGCUUACACAGGGGAUGGGGGGGCUUAAUUAAUAGGGGGGUUAAUAGUGGGGUGUCGCUUCGACUGGUAAUGUGUGAAUGUAAGGGAGUUAGAUUAGGAGCUUGUUAAUG
Molecule: long non-coding RNA, 1359 nt
Filed under: Coturnix japonica (Japanese quail)
Lineage: Eukaryota; Metazoa; Chordata; Aves; Galliformes; Phasianidae
Description: lncRNA (ENSCJPG00005005936.1)
Source: RNAcentral